This 291-nucleotide signal recognition particle RNA is filed under the name Chelydra serpentina (North American snapping turtle). Its description in RNAcentral is "Metazoan signal recognition particle RNA (ENSCSRG00000010735.1)". It matches the Rfam family "Metazoan signal recognition particle RNA". From Rfam's summary of the family: The signal recognition particle (SRP) is a universally conserved ribonucleoprotein. It is involved in the co-translational targeting of proteins to membranes. The record is from Rfam by way of RNAcentral. Lineage: Eukaryota; Metazoa; Chordata; Testudines; Chelydridae.
UCUGCGCACUAACCCACGUGUGGACGGAGGGCAGCUGAUGGAGCAGGAGAAAAGCUGAUUGUCGGAGUUCACGGCUGCCCCCUGGUGUGCGGAGCAGGUGUCUGUGCUAAGGUUGGCAUCAAUAGGGUCAUAUCUGGGAAGCUCGGGGUCCCCAGAUUGCCUAAGGAGGGGUGAACCGGUCCAGGUCUGAAACGGAGGAGGUCAAAACUCCCGUGCCGAUCAGUAGUGGGAUCGCGCCUGUAAACACCUCUUGUGGCACCGCCUCGCCAGUACAGCGAGAGCCAGUCUCCU